RNAcentral lists this ribosomal RNA (416 nucleotides) under uncultured eukaryote. Its description in RNAcentral is "bacterial SSU rRNA". It matches the Rfam family "Eukaryotic small subunit ribosomal RNA", at positions 592 to 1013 of the family's 1831-position model. The record is from RNAcentral.
CAAUAGCGUAUAUUAAAGUUGUUGCGGUUAAAAGCUCGUAGUUGGAUUUCUGUCCGAGGCAGCCGGUCCGCACCUGGUGCGUGUAUCUGGUUUGGCUAGGGCAUCCUCUUGGGGAACGUCUCUGUGCUUGAUUGCAUGGGGCGGAAUUCAAGACUUUUACUUUGAGGAAAUUAGAGUGUUCACGGCAAGCUAUCGCUUUGAAUACAUUAGCAUGGAAUAAUGGAAUAGGACUUUGGUCCCAUUUUGUUGGUUUCUAGGGCCGAAGUAAUGAUUAAGAGGGACAAUUGGGGGCAUCCGUAUUUCGUUGUCAGAGGUGAAAUUCUUGGAUUUACGAAAGACGAACAACUGCGAAAGCACUUGCCAAGAGUGUUUUCAUUAAUCAAGAACGAAAGUUAGAGGAUCGAAGACGAUUAGAU